This is a non-coding RNA of Saimiri boliviensis boliviensis (Bolivian squirrel monkey), 180 nucleotides long. The record is from RefSeq and is a predicted model, not a curated record. NCBI's taxonomy places the organism in Eukaryota, Metazoa, Chordata, Mammalia, Primates, Cebidae.
GUUGUCUUUAAUGACCUGGAGUUGUUAUAACAGCUGUCAACUGAGCCCUGUUUCCGGAUAUGCUUAUCUUUGUAGACCAAAAGCACUAAAUGAGGUCCUGUCGGCUGGUACCAGAUGAGAAGAGCCAGUUCCUAUGGUUAAAUGAUCACACAGCAAGGCCAGUGCAGAAAAGCAGCUGGA